Molecule: ribosomal RNA, 850 nt
Filed under: uncultured Bacillus sp.
Lineage: Bacteria; Bacillati; Bacillota; Bacilli; Caryophanales; Bacillaceae
Description: bacterial SSU rRNA
Rfam family: Bacterial small subunit ribosomal RNA
Source: RNAcentral
UGCAGUCGAGCGGACCGACGGGAGCUUGCUCCCUUAGGUCAGCGGCGGACGGGUGAGUAACACGUGGGUAACCUGCCUGUAAGACUGGGAUAACUCCGGGAAACCGGGGCUAAUACCGGAUGCUUGAUUGAGCCGCAUGGUUCAAUUAUAAAAGGUGGCUUUCAGCUACCACUUGCAGAUGGACCCGCGGCGCAUUAGCUAGUUGGUGAGGUAACGGCUCACCAAAGCGACGAUGCGUAGCCGACCUGAGAGGGUGAUCGGCCACACUGGGACUGAGACACGGCCCAGACUCCUACGGGAGGCAGCAGUAGGGAAUCUUCCGCAAUGGACGAAAGUCUGACGGAGCAACGCCGCGUGAGUGAUGAAGGUUUUCGGAUCGUAAAACUCUGUUGUUAGGGAAGAACAAGUACCGUUCGAAUAGGGCGGCACCUUGACGGUACCUAACCAGAAAGCCACGGCUAACUACGUGCCAGCAGCCGCGGUAAUACGUAGGUGGCAAGCGUUGUCCGGAAUUAUUGGGCGUAAAGCGCGCGCAGGCGGUUUCUUAAGUCUGAUGUGAAAGCCCCCGGCUCAACCGGGGAGGGUCAUUGGAAACUGGGGAACUUGAGUGCAGAAGAGGAGAGUGGAAUUCCACGUGUAGCGGUGAAAUGCGUAGAGAUGUGGAGGAACACCAGUGGCGAAGGCGACUCUCUGGUCUGUAACUGACGCUGAGGCGCGAAAGCGUGGGGAGCGAACAGGAUUAGAUACCCUGGUAGUCCACGCCGUAAACGAUGAGUGCUAAGUGUUAGAGGGUUUCCGCCCUUUAGUGCUGCAGCAAACGCAUUAAGCACUCCGCCUGGGGAGUACGGUC